CCUACGGGAGGCAGCAGUGAGGAAUAUUGGUCAAUGGGCUUACGCCUGAACCAGCCAAGUCGCGUGAGUGAUGAAGGUAAUUUUAUUGUAAAGCUCUUUUCUUUGGAACGAAUAAAUGACGGUACCAAAGGAAUAAGCCCCGGCUAACUACGUGCCAGCAGCCGCGGUAAUACGUAGGGGGCAAGCGUUGUUCGGAAUGACUGGGCGUAAAGGGUGGGUAGGGGGUUUGAUAAGUUAGAUGUGUAAUACCCAGGGCUUAACUCGGGUGCUGCAUCUAAAACUGUUAGACUUGAGUACUGGAGAGGAUAGUGGAAUUCCUAGUGUAGCGGUGGAAUGCGUAGAUAUUAGGAGGAACAUCAGUGGCGAAGGCGACUAUCUGGACAGCAACUGACACUGAGGCACGAAAGCGUGGGGAGCAAACAGGAUUAGAUACCCCUGUAGUC
Molecule: ribosomal RNA, 443 nt
Filed under: uncultured bacterium
Lineage: Bacteria
Description: partial 16S ribosomal RNA
Rfam family: Bacterial small subunit ribosomal RNA
Source: RNAcentral